GGGUUGUGAGGUUAAGCGACUAAGCGUACACGGUGGAUGCCCUGGCAGUCAGAGGCGAUGAAGGACGUGCUAAUCUGCGAAAAGCGUCGGUAAGGUGAUAUGAACCGUUACAGCCGGCGAUGUCCGAAUGGGGAAACCCAGUGUGAUUCGUCACACUAUCGUUAACUGAAUACAUAGGUUAACGAGGCGAACCGGGGGAACUGAAACAUCUAAGUACCCCGAGGAAAAGAAAUCAACCGAGAUUCCCCCAGUAGCGGCGAGCGAACGGGGAGCAGCCCAGAGUCUGAAUCAGCUUGUGUGUUAGUGGAACGGUCUGGAAAGUCCGACGGUACAGGGUGAUAGUCCCGUACACCAAAAUGCACAGGCUGUGAACUCGAAGAGUAGGGCGGGACACGUGGUAUCCUGUCUGAAUAUGGGGGGACCAUCCUCCAAGGCUAAAUACUCCUGACUGACCGAUAGUGAACCAGUACCGUGAGGGAAAGGCGAAAAGAACCCCGGCGAGGGGAGUGAAAAAGAACCUGAAACCGUGUACGUACAAGCAGUGGGAGCACCUUCGGGUGUGACUGCGUACCUUUUGUAUAAUGGGUCAGCGACUUAUAUUCUGUAGCAAGGUUAACCGUAUAGGGGAGCCGCAGGGAAACCGAGUCUUAACUGGGCGUUAAGUUGCAGGGUAUAGACCCGAAACCCGGUGAUCUAGCCAUGGGCAGGUUGAAGGUUGGGUAACACUAACUGGAGGACCGAACCGACUAAUGUUGAAAAAUUAGCGGAUGACUUGUGGCUGGGGGUGAAAGGCCAAUCAAACCGGGAGAUAGCUGGUUCUCCCCGAAAGCUAUUUAGGUAGCGCCUCGUGAAUUCAUCUUCGGGGGUAGAGCACUGUUUCGGCUAGGGGGUCAUCCCGACUUACCAACCCGAUGCAAACUACGAAUACCGAAGAAUGUUAUCACGGGAGACACACGGCGGGUGCUAACGUCCGUCGUGAAGAGGGAAACAACCCAGACCGCCAGCUAAGGUCCCAAAGUCAUGGUUAAGUGGGAAACGAUGUGGGAAGGCACAGACAGCCAGGAUGUUGGCUUAGAAGCAGCCAUCAUUUAAAGAAAGCGUAAUAGCUCACUGGUCGAGUCGGCCUGCGCGGAAGAUGUAACGGGGCUAAACCAUGCACCGAAGCUGCGGCAGCGACACUAUGUGUUGUUGGGUAGGGGAGCGUUCUGUAAGCCUGCGAAGGUGACCUGUGAGGGUUGCUGGAGGUAUCAGAAGUGCGAAUGCUGACAUAAGUAACGAUAAAGCGGGUGAAAAGCCCGCUCGCCGGAAGACCAAGGGUUCCUGUCCAACGUUAAUCGGGGCAGGGUGAGUCGACCCCCUAAGGCGAGGCCGAAAGGCGUAGUCGAUGGGAAACAGGUUAAUAUUCCUGUACUUGGUGUUACUGCGAAGGGGGGACGGAGAAGGCUAUGUUAGCCGGGCGACGGUUGUCCCGGUUUAAGCAUGUAGGCUGGUUGUCCAGGCAAAUCCGGAUAAUCAAGGCUGAGGUGUGAUGACGAGGCACUACGGUGCUGAAGUAACAAAUGCCCUGCUUCCAGGAAAAGCCUCUAAGCAUCAGGUAACAUUAAAUCGUACCCCAAACCGACACAGGUGGUCAGGUAGAGAAUACCAAGGCGCUUGAGAGAACUCGGGUGAAGGAACUAGGCAAAAUGGUGCCGUAACUUCGGGAGAAGGCACGCUGGUGUGUAGGUGAAGUCCCUGCGGAUGGAGCUGAGACCAGUCGAAGAUACCAGCUGGCUGCAACUGUUUAUUAAAAACACAGCACUGUGCAAACACGAAAGUGGACGUAUACGGUGUGACGCCUGCCCGGUGCCGGAAGGUUAAUUGAUGGGGUUAUCCGUAAGGAGAAGCUCUUGAUCGAAGCCCCGGUAAACGGCGGCCGUAACUAUAACGGUCCUAAGGUAGCGAAAUUCCUUGUCGGGUAAGUUCCGACCUGCACGAAUGGCGUAAUGAUGGCCAGGCUGUCUCCACCCGAGACUCAGUGAAAUUGAACUCGCUGUGAAGAUGCAGUGUACCCGCGGCAAGACGGAAAGACCCCGUGAACCUUUACUAUAGCUUGACACUGAACAUUGAGCCUUGAUGUGUAGGAUAGGUGGGAGGCUUUGAAGCGUGGACGCCAGUCUGCGUGGAGCCAACCUUGAAAUACCACCCUUUAAUGUUUGAUGUUCUAACGUUGGCCCCUUACCGGGGUUGCGGACAGUGUCUGGUGGGUAGUUUGACUGGGGCGGUCUCCUCCCAAAGCGUAACGGAGGAGCACGAAGGUUAGCUAAUCCUGGUCGGACAUCAGGAGGUUAGUGCAAUGGCAUAAGCUAGCUUGACUGCGAGCGUGACGGCGCGAGCAGGUGCGAAAGCAGGUCAUAGUGAUCCGGUGGUUCUGAAUGGAAGGGCCAUCGCUCAACGGAUAAAAGGUACUCCGGGGAUAACAGGCUGAUACCGCCCAAGAGUUCAUAUCGACGGCGGUGUUUGGCACCUCGAUGUCGGCUCAUCACAUCCUGGGGCUGAAGUAGGUCCCAAGGGUAUGGCUGUUCGCCAUUUAAAGUGGUACGCGAGCUGGGUUUAGAACGUCGUGAGACAGUUCGGUCCCUAUCUGCCGUGGGCGCUGGAGAAUUGAGGGGGGCUGCUCCUAGUACGAGAGGACCGGAGUGGACGCAUCACUGGUGUUCGGGUUGUCAUGCCAAUGGCACUGCCCGGUAGCUAAAUGCGGAAGAGAUAAGUGCUGAAAGCAUCUAAGCACGAAACUUGCCCCGAGAUGAGUUCUCCCUGAGACUUUAAGUCUCCUGAAGGAACGUUAAAGACGAUGACGUUGAUAGGCCGGGUGUGUAAGCGCAGCGAUGCGUUGAGCUAACCGGUACUAAUGAACCGUGAGGCUUAACCUUACAACGCCGAAG
This 2924-nucleotide ribosomal RNA is filed under the name Klebsiella pneumoniae. RNAcentral describes it as "bacterial LSU rRNA". It matches the Rfam family "Bacterial large subunit ribosomal RNA". The record is from RNAcentral. Lineage: Bacteria; Pseudomonadati; Pseudomonadota; Gammaproteobacteria; Enterobacterales; Enterobacteriaceae.